This 241-nucleotide ribosomal RNA is filed under the name uncultured bacterium. Its description in RNAcentral is "partial 16S ribosomal RNA". It matches the Rfam family "Bacterial small subunit ribosomal RNA", at positions 92 to 334 of the family's 1533-position model. The record is from RNAcentral.
CGACCGGCGCACGGGCGCGUAACGCGUAUGCAACCUACCUUUAACAGGGGGAUAACACUGAGAAAUUGGUACUAAUACCCCAUAAUAUCAUAGAAGGCAUCUUUUAUGGUUGAAAAUUCCGAUGGUUAGAGAUGGGCAUGCGUUGUAUUAGCUAGUUGGUGGGGUAACGGCUCACCAAGGCGACGAUACAUAGGGGGACUGAGAGGUUAACCCCCCACACUGGUACUGAGACACGGACCAG